GACGAACUGUCCUAACGUUGUUCGGAAUCACUGGGCUUAAAGGGCGCGUAGGCGGUUCCUCAAGUCCGUUGUGAAAGCCCCGGGCUCAACCUGGGAAUGGCAGUGGAAACUAGGGGACUGGAAUCUGGCAGAGGGGGGUGGAAUGCCGCGUGUAGCAGUGAAAUGCGUAGAGAUGCGGCGGAACACCGAUGGCGAAGGCAGCCCCCUGGGCUAACACUGACGCUCAGGCACGAAAGCGUGGGGAGCAAACAGG
RNAcentral lists this ribosomal RNA (253 nucleotides) under uncultured prokaryote. Its description in RNAcentral is "partial 16S ribosomal RNA". It matches the Rfam family "Bacterial small subunit ribosomal RNA", at positions 524 to 776 of the family's 1533-position model. The record is from RNAcentral.